This 468-nucleotide ribosomal RNA is filed under the name uncultured bacterium. RNAcentral's name for it is "partial 16S ribosomal RNA". It matches the Rfam family "Bacterial small subunit ribosomal RNA", at positions 28 to 507 of the family's 1533-position model. The record is from RNAcentral.
GACGAACGCUGGCGGCGUGCUUAACACAUGCAAGUCGGACGGAAAGGCCCUGCUUUUGUGGGGUGCUCGAGUGGCGAACGGGUGAGUAACACGUGAGUAACCUGCCCUUGACUUUGGGAUAACUUCAGGAAACUGGGGCUAAUACCGGAUAGGAGCUCCUGCUGCAUGGUGGGGGUUGGAAAGUUUCGGCGGUUGGGGAUGGACUCGCGGCUUAUCAGCUUGUUGGUGGGGUAGUGGCUUACCAAGGCUUUGACGGGUAGCCGGCCUGAGAGGGUGACCGGCCACAUUGGGACUGAGAUACGGCCCAGACUCCUACGGGAGGCAGCAGUGGGGAAUAUUGCACAAUGGGCGGAAGCCUGAUGCAGCAACGCCGCGUGCGGGAUGACGGCCUUCGGGUUGUAAACCGCUUUCGCCUGUGACGAGGCGUGAGUGACGGUAAUGGGUAAAGAAGCACCGGCUAACUACGUG